AAUGACACCAAAGCGAAACCGC
This 22-nucleotide microRNA is filed under the name Pristionchus pacificus. RNAcentral's name for it is "ppc-miR-2258". Lineage: Eukaryota; Metazoa; Nematoda; Chromadorea; Rhabditida; Neodiplogasteridae. The record is from miRBase by way of RNAcentral.